AAGUGCAUUUCAUAAAUUAUAUGAAGAAGUUGAAUCUAUAAAAAGAGGCAGAAGGGCUGCCAUGGUUAACAUUGGUGCACAAGUAGGUCUAAUACAUACACCAAUAUCAAACAAAAACUUUAGUGAAAUCCUAAAUGCAGCCAAUAUUAUCUUCCCUUCUUCAUUAGGCUUUGCAGAAAUCUGCAAAUAAAGUUUCAAAAGUUGUGGAAAAAGUAAAUAAAGAUGACAUGGAAAAUAUAAGGAAAAAUUUGGCAAAUGACAACAAAACACUUGGUCUAUCCAAUGAAAAGUUGGUUCGAGUUGAAUCUGAUGCUAGGUAUAAUAACCCAAUUUUUAGUAAUGGCAGCACACCUUUUCAGGGGGGUACACAAGUUACCCAAGUUAUGUGUGAAAAUAUGACAAAAAAUAAAAAAAAUGAUCUCUCUUUAUACUGGUAAUAAAUUGUGUUUAAUUGCCUCAAAAUUGAGAGGUAAAAGGGAA
RNAcentral lists this long non-coding RNA (480 nucleotides) under Mytilus galloprovincialis (Mediterranean mussel). Lineage: Eukaryota; Metazoa; Mollusca; Bivalvia; Mytilida; Mytilidae. The record is from RNAcentral.